AUCUAUGGCCAUGCCACCCUGAACAAGUCUGAUCCUGUCUGAUCUUGGAAGCUAAGCAGGGUCAGAUCUGGUUAGUACUUGGAUGGGAGACCACCUAGGAAGACCAGGUGCUGCAGGCA
Molecule: ribosomal RNA, 119 nt
Filed under: Pteropus alecto (black flying fox)
Lineage: Eukaryota; Metazoa; Chordata; Mammalia; Chiroptera; Pteropodidae
Also listed under: 1 other name
Source: RNAcentral